GGGGAUUUAGCUCAGUGGUAGAGCGCUUGCCUAGCAAACGAAAGGCCCUGGGUUCGGUUCCCAGCUCUG
Molecule: non-coding RNA, 69 nt
Organism: Rattus norvegicus (Norway rat)
Lineage: Eukaryota; Metazoa; Chordata; Mammalia; Rodentia; Muridae
Source: Rfam